CUUUGUCUUUUUAAGGCCACACCCACAGCAUACGGAGGUUUCCAGGCUAGGGAUCUAAUCAGAGCUGUUGCUGCCGUCCUACACCAGAGCCACAGCAACGCCAGAUCUGAGCCACGUCUGUGACCUACACCACAGCUCAUGGCAACGCUGGAUCCUUAACCCACUGAGCGAGGCCAUGAGGGCUGCUCCCACCGAAACCUCAUGGUUCCUAGUCAGAUGUGUUUUCACUACACCAAGACGGGAACUCCAGAUGCAAAUCUUGACUUUACCACUUACUGUGUGAUCUUGAAGUGUUAGUUUACCUCUCUGGGCCUCAGUUUGCUUUUUUGUAAGUUGGGGAUAAAAUAGUACAAUAGAAGCAAUUUUAUCAAACACAGUGUGGUCUGUUAAUUGGAAAAGUAAAAAUGAGGAGUCAUGAAAUAAAUGAUAUAUGGUUUAUUAGCACUCUACUACAUUUUAAAAACCUACUACUACUUAGUGGCUUAAAACUGACAAAUAUUUAUUUGUCACAUUCUGGAUGGUAGCUGAUGGUUUCUCUGGUCUGAGCCAGUUUGACUGGACUAGGUGCUCUAGGAUGGCCUCAUUCCUGCAUCUAGAGUCUACACUAGUAUGAUUGAGCUCUCCAUUUGACCACUCAGUUUCAAGGAGGACAGCUUGAGCAUGUUCACCUGGUGGCAGUAGGUUCCCAGCAGCAAGAGAUGUCAAGCCCCAGUGCACAUGCCUUUCAAGCAUCCUGCAGUGUGAUGUUUGCUAAUGUUCCAUGGGCCAAAGAAAAUCACAAGGUCAAGUCCAGAUAGACGGCCAGGGAAGGGGAGACACAGACUUUACCUUUGAUGGAGAUGAACAGCAGGGUCACACGGCACACUGACCUGCGUUGUAGGAGGAAUAAUGUGGUCAUUUUUAUAAACAGUCUACCACAUCACAUCUCAUACAUUUUAAUUUAAAAUAUUUGUGCACCAGAGUUCCCAUCAUGGCUCAGUGGAAAUGAAUCCAACUAGUAUUCAUGAGGAUGCAGGUUCAAUCCCUGGCCUUACUCAGUGGGUUAGGGAUCCUGCAUUGCUGUGAACUGUGGUGUAGGUCACAGACAUGGCUCAGAUCCCACGUUGCUGUGGAUGUGGCUUAGGUGGGCAGCUGUGGCUCUGAUUUGACCCCUAGCCAGGGAACUUCCAUAUGCCAGAGGUGCGGCCCUAAAAAGCAAAAAAAUGAAUGAAUGAAUGAAUAAAUAAAAUAUUUGUUCACCUUUGACAUGGACUCAAGUAUAGCUACAUGGACGGUAAGAACAACUGAUUCUUGGUGACUGUACAGCUCACCUAGUGGGCAUCCUGGAGCAGGCCAAGGCAUCAGUCAGUCAGGUCCCCAGAGGGGAUUAAGAGCCUCAGUUUAGUGGCAGUUACUAAAGAGCUUCUACUGUACCAGCCUAGUAGAGCUGUAUCGAGGGUUAGUUGUGAAAAUACCCUUAACAUGCUUAGGACACUUCUUUAGUUCCUGUAAAUGCUCAGUAAUGUUAGUUGUUCUCAUUAUUACACAAUCAUUCAUGUGGUUAUUGUUGUUGCUGUUAUUAAUCAGUCUAAGGUAAAACCUUGGUAUAGGAUAGAAAUGGCAUAAGGAAUAAUAAAAAUGCCAGACCCAGUACCAUCAAGUGGUAAUUGAGAGGAAACAAUGAAGGUAGAAAGGGAGGAUCAAGCCAGGGAUUUAUAAAACUGAUAUAAGAGAACCUAGAAGAUGGAGCAGUAGGAAAUGGGUGAUUCAGACAAGGAGCCUGGAGAAGCAGGCAUGUUAGUCUUAGUUAACAAUUAUAAUUUUGGAGUUCUGGUCAUGGCUCAGCAGAAAUGAAUCUGACUGGUAUCCAUGAGGACACAGGUUCAGUCCCUCGCCCCUCUCAGUGGGUUAAGAAUCGAGCGUUGCUGUGAGCUGUGGUGUAGGGUUGCUACACCAGAUCUGUGUGGCUGUGGCACAGGAGAGCAGCUACAGCUCCAAUUCAACCCCUAGACUGGGAACCUCCAUGUGCUGCAAGUGCAGCCCUAAAAAGAAAAAAAAAAAAAAAAAAGAAUUAUAAUUUCAACAUACGUAUUUGAAGCAUGAUGAUUUAGGAGAAUGCUUCCUAAGUUCUGGUUCAGAGACUGGUUGCUCGUCCCUGGGGAGCUUGUUAAAAAUGUAGAAAUUGUAAUUCCUGAGCCAAUAGGUUUAAGAACCUAUAUUACUAAAAGCUGUUCAGGUAGAUUUGAAUGCACAUUCAGGCUUGGGAAGCCAUGAAAACAUAGAGCACUGGAAGUCAGGAAACUUGGACUGUAGUUCUGGGUCUGGAAUAGACUUGCUAUGUGACCUCUGUCUUGCAGAUCUAGAGAGAUGAAAUUUUGAGAUGUGUUUAAUCCCUUGUAGACCCCUCGAUGCAUGUAAGGGGUGAUUAUUAGUAUUUCAGCAGGUACUCUCUGUGUUUGAGACCAGGCCCAUCAAUCAAGGUUCCUCCACCUCAUAUGCCAAGCAAGGGACUUGGCCCACUUUAUCUAAAAAUCCUUCCCAUUGGUUCAACAACUAUAGAAGACAACAUGGAGGUUCCCCAAAAUACAAAAAAUAGAGUUGCCAUAUGAUCCAGCAGUCCCACUCCUGGUGCAAAAAUUAUAGUUUUUACUCAGGCAAAACUAUAAUUUGAAAAGAUACAUGCACCCCUGUGUUCAUGGCAACACUAUUUUCAAUAGCCAAGACAUAGAAACAAUUUAAAUGCACAUCAGCAGAUAAACGGAUAAGGAUGUGGUGUAUAUAUACAUAUAUAAAAUGGAAUAUUACUCAGCCAUUAAAAAGAAAUAACACCAUUUGCAGAAACUAGGGUGGACCUAGAGAUUAUCUUACUAAGUCAAGUAAGUCAUAAAGAGAAAGACAAAUACCAUAUGAUAUCACUUAUAUGUAGAAUCUAAAAUGUGAUAUAAAUCAACAAAUCAGUGAAACAAAAAGAUUCACAGAUAUAGACAACAGAUUUGUGGUUACCAAAGGGGAGAGGGAUAGAGGAGAGGGAAGGACUGGGAGUUUUGGAUUAGCAGAAACAAACUAUUAUAUAUAGGAUGAAUAAACAAUAGGUCCUACUUUAUAGCACAGGGAAUUAUAUCCAAUAUUCUGUGAUGAGCCAUGAUGGAAAAGAAUAUGCAAAUGGAUAUAUUUGUAUAGCUGAGUCAUUUUGCCAUACAGGGAAAACUAACACAGUAUUGUAAACCAACUAUACUUCAAUAAAAUUUGUAAAAAUAAUUUAAAAUCCCUUCUAGCUGUAAAAUUUUAUAAGUAUGAUUUGUUUUCUGUUUUGUAGACACCAAAUUUCUAUAUGUUGAUGUGGAUUCUCAUGGAUUGUGCUUCUGCAAUUUUCAUUGUUGCCAUAUUUUAUUUUCAUUGGUAAGCAUAACUGAUUUUCCCUGAAAUAGAAAUAUAAGUGAUUUUUGUGGAAAUUUGAGAAAAAAGCAGCUACAUUCUUCCCAUAGUCCCACAUGGCAAAUCCUCAGGGAGACAGGGUUUUAUCGUCUGAUGCUACCUGAAGCAGCCUGCAGCUCCUCACACACCAUCUACCUACUCAACAUGAGACUAUAUUUGAAGGACAAGGAUUCUCACUAAAGCUUAAUCUAAGCCUGUUACUACAGAUUUCAAUGCAGAUCAACCGGAAGAGGACAGGGGCUGAAGGUUCUUCACAAAAGUGCCUCCAAAUCUCCCCACCUUCCACACAAUUGCACAUAGUGGAGUGCUGUGUAAAGAGCAAGUUGACAAACCAUGGUUUUAGUCCUGGCUUUGCCCUUAGUUUCUGAGUGAUCCUGGGAUAAUCAGUGCCCCUUUCCAGGCCAUAGUCUUUUCAUCUGUCCGAGAAAAUGACAUUUGAGAAUUCUUGAGAGAAUAUGCUAUAAGAUUGCAAGGUUCAAGGUGGGAGAGGAGACAUCUGGUAGAAGAAUUCGACCUAUAAGAGACCUUGGUUGUUUAAAUCUCAUCAUGUCCAUCAUUUCUUCAUUUGAAGUGUCCUUUAAAGGAGGAAACCACACACCCUCUCCUUAAAGGAGAAUUUGACUGGACAAUGUUCUUUUACAGUCUUUGCCUUGAAUUACUGCCAUUUUUGGAAGAGGUCUAUAUGGUUGAUGGAUAGUCUGCUUCCUUCUAGGUGGAGAGAGAGCCAAAGUGAAAAAAUCCUCAGAGGUAUCAGCAGUUAUGCAGGUAAAGUCAGAGGCCUCAUGGACUCCCAUCUCUUCCUCCCUACCCAUUGCCUCAGGAUACAGGCAUUGUUUUUGACAAGAGUUGAAGGAGUCUGAAUUUGAGAGUGGGGACCAGUGAGAAAUUGGGACCAAUAAACUAAGCACAGAUUCUGGAGGGCCCUUGAUAUCACUCUUCAUUUUGGACUUUAUUGUCUAAGCAAUGAGACUCCUUGUAAGCUUUUGAACAUGGAUGAUUUUUUGUUGUUGUUCGCUUGUUCAUAUAUUCACUUAUCACAGUUAUUGAGUACCAGCUUUGUGAUAGCCACUUUCUUUGUCCUCACACAGCCUUUCUUCUGUGUACCCACACACACCCUCAGUAUCUCCUGUGUGUCCAAAUUUUCUCUUCUAUGCUCAGACUGGAUCAGGGCUCAUGACAGUGGCCUCAUUUUAAUCAUGUCUUUAAAGGCUUUAUUUCCUACAUUAGUAACAUAUUGAAGUGCUGGUGGUUAAGGCUUGACCAUAUGAAAUUGUGGGGUAUACAAGUCAGGU
This 4706-nucleotide long non-coding RNA is filed under the name Sus scrofa (pig). RNAcentral's name for it is "lncRNA (ENSSSCG00040073091.1)". The record is from RNAcentral. Lineage: Eukaryota; Metazoa; Chordata; Mammalia; Artiodactyla; Suidae.